RNAcentral lists this ribosomal RNA (254 nucleotides) under uncultured bacterium. RNAcentral's name for it is "partial 16S ribosomal RNA". It matches the Rfam family "Bacterial small subunit ribosomal RNA", at positions 524 to 776 of the family's 1533-position model. The record is from RNAcentral.
UACGUAGGGUGCGAGCGUUUAAUCGGAAUUACUGGGCGUAAAGCGUGCGCAGGCGGUUCGUUGUGUCGGCGGUGAAAGCCCCGGGCUUAACCUGGGAAUGGCCGUCGAAACUGGCGAACUGGAGUGUGGCAGAGGGGGGUGGAAUUCCGCGUGUAGCAGUGAAAUGCGUAGAGAUGCGGAGGAACACCGAUGGCGAAGGCAGCCCCCUGGGCUGACACUGACGCUCAGGCACGAAAGCGUGGGGAGCAAACAGG